AACGCACAUUGCACUCUUUUAGAGUAUGCCUGUUUGAGAAUCUAAUGUAUUUCUUUUACCUAUUUUAUGGGCAAACAUUCGAUAGUGUAACGGUUUGAAACGUCUCUACCCAGAGAGUUUUGAAAUGCAUUACUGUUUUGUAAAGGCACUGUGUUGAUCCUUUGCAUAGAAUAACAGAAACGUAUUUGACUGACACCUUGGUUUCAUUAUGAUACUGAUUAUGUUAUUUGCAUAGGGGAAUGGUAACAUUCUUGGCAGUUCAUAACCUAUAAAAAGAAGUCUUUGACUACUCUUGAACUUAGGACUCAGAUCAGGUAGGGCUACCCGCUGAAAUUAA
This 337-nucleotide unclassified non-coding RNA is filed under the name uncultured fungus. RNAcentral describes it as "partial contains 5.8S rRNA and ITS2". Lineage: Eukaryota; Fungi. The record is from RNAcentral.